AGCAGUAUGGUGUAUUGCUGCACACGGGGUAUUUGUGGUCCAUUUCAUCCCAUGCAUUGAACCCCGAGGUCCUGGUUCGAAUCCAGGUGCCGCUC
Mycena metata is the source of this 95-nucleotide non-coding RNA. Lineage: Eukaryota; Fungi; Basidiomycota; Agaricomycetes; Agaricales; Mycenaceae. The record is from the annotation of a GenBank genome assembly.